Nasonia vitripennis (jewel wasp) is the source of this 77-nucleotide non-coding RNA. The record is from Rfam. Lineage: Eukaryota; Metazoa; Arthropoda; Insecta; Hymenoptera; Pteromalidae.
GGGUUUUCAAUGAACGUUCACCUUCACGUGGUGAAACCCGGGCAACGUUACAUUCAGCAGCGGCUAAGAACGUUCAC